Saccostrea cuccullata (small rock oyster) is the source of this 231-nucleotide long non-coding RNA. RefSeq lists it as uncharacterized. NCBI's taxonomy places the organism in Eukaryota, Metazoa, Mollusca, Bivalvia, Ostreida, Ostreidae. The transcript is spliced from 3 exons. The record is from RefSeq and is a predicted model, not a curated record.
CCUAAUUGUUGAGAAAGAGUUGUAUUGCGUGACAGACUCAGAGAACCAGAAUAUUUCAGGGAAGAACGACAAGAUCAACGAGGAGGCUCAAAACAGUAUUGAGUUGAACUUUUGCUGCUAUUCUUGCAAGAACGUAGCUUUAACAAGUGAUGCAUUGUGGGUCCAAGUUACGGCGUCAAAAAAUUCUAUCGAAUGAAUGUGCAGUCGUCCAAAUUUUCUCUUCGCACAGAG